RNAcentral lists this long non-coding RNA (1948 nucleotides) under Homo sapiens (human). Its description in RNAcentral is "HSALNT0408657". Lineage: Eukaryota; Metazoa; Chordata; Mammalia; Primates; Hominidae. The record is from RNAcentral.
CUUGUUCUCAAAGUGCACAGGUUUACCUUUCAGUUCCGCCUGACUUUCCUUCUUCAUGCUGCAUUUGUGCUUUUAACUUUGUGUGGCUUUUGUCUUCCAGGUGGAACCAGUCCAACUUACGUGUGCUUAAUGUAUUAGGCAGAGAAAGAAAGAGAGAGAGCGGGAGCGAGAGAGCACAAGUGGUCCUUUCGGCAGUCAAAACUUUGGCUUUAAAACUCUCAUUCACGUUUCCCAACAGCAGUAUAUUUUUGCCUUCUCAUUCAAAGAGUUUUGGCUAAACCUUAAUUGUGUUCUGUCUUUCAGUGAUUCACAUACCCUCCUUCUUUAGGUUGAUGUAGUCAUAGUCUUCACUACUAUUCAGUACGUUAGUUUUAUCAAUAUUGCAAUAGUGUUCAGAUCUUUUACACAUGUUAGAUGUGUGGUGUUUUGGGGAAAUGUGAGCUACAAAGCAUCUUUGGGGUUGUUUUGAGGAACUACCCAUCAUUUAUAGCCUUACUCUAAUUACAAAAUGCAGUUCAGGUUCUAGAUUGCCACCAUUCUAGAGUGUGGCACACACCAUUCUAGGGCGUGAUUCAUUUGGAUGUUGGAAACUCAAUGUCUGUUGUUUGUAUAGUGUUGAUGUGUAAAAUGCUUUAAAAAUAUGUUCUGUUAGUUAGAAAUCUUACAAUGUUGUUCAUACUAUUAAUCAACAUUUUUGGUUAUUCAGUAAAACUUUACUAUCCUCAGGCCCUCCGUGUUCUUAUUUAAAGCCGCUGUAUUAUGGCCUGCUUUUCUAUGCUACAGAUUUUCAGAACUACUCAAUUCUGGUCUAUAUAUGUGGUAGUGCAAUCAGGGAGGUAUUUUUGGGGGUAUAUGGGGUACACAUCUCUUUAAAUUCAGGUAGCUAUUUACAGUGAAAAGCCAGUUGUGGCAGUUGUGCUCAGAGUAGGUGUUGAUUUUUUAUUACUGUAUACAUGGAUAAUUCUGGAUCCAGUAUGUGAUGUGUUGCAGAAAAAUAAAUAAAAUGUGUUCAUCAUCUUAGCAAUUAAGUGGCAGACUUAAGUUCUUAAUACUUAAAUAUAUGCUUUCUUUUUUCAUUUGUCUUUCUGAGAACGUAUUUAUCAAAGUCAAAACUUUCCAGGACAGAAGCUGAAUCUGAAGCAUUAGCUAUGCAGACAUUACUUUGUACAUCUCUUUUUGAAAAUGAAACUUAUAAGUUAAAAGAUUAAACAACAUCUUGAAUACGUUAUGAAAAUAUACUUGGUGUAAGUUAGGAUGGCUAAGUGUUUUUUAAAGUUGACUGAACAAACCAUUUUUCAUUUAUACAAAUAUACAUGUACUUAUAACUACUUACAUAUAUAAUAUAUUUGUAUAUCUGUUUGUAUAUGUUACUUCCCAUGUGAGAAGAAAGCAUAGAUAUAUAUCAUUUUAUAUGUGCAGCUAUUUCUUAUAUAUUGAACUACACAUAUUAAGACUUACCACUUGGUCUUUAUUUGUGUUUUGUUUUAUGCCAAUUUAAAAUAAUUUUAAUACAAGCACAUGAUCAAAAAACCAUACAGUAUAAAAAGUAUACAGUUAAAAGUAAAUCUCAAACCCCGGGGUCUCUAGUUUCCAGCCCAUAGAUUAGCACUAGUAUAUUUUUUGCAUAUACAUAUUUAGAUUUAGUCUAUAUAUAUACAAGAACACAUGUAUGUGUGUAUGGAAUUUUUAUACAAAUAAUAACAUACUGUAUGUAUCUGUGCCUUUUUAAUCACAAAAUCUUAGUGAUUUUUUCUUAUACUUAUCUACUUAAUUUUAUUGCAUGCUGUUCUAUUGUGUGAUUGGAAUACACUUGACUUAUUCAUUACACCUUUGAUGAUCAUUUAUGUUGGUUCUGGUUUUCUGUUACUGUAAACUAUUCUGCAGUGAUUACUUAAGUGUAUACAUCUUUGUGUACAAGCAUAAAUAUAUCUGCAGGAUAAUUCCGAGA